AGCAGCCGCCGCGGGAAUACAGAGGGUGCGAGCGUUAAUCGGAUUUACUGGGCGUAAAGCGUGCGUAGGCGGCUAAUUGAGUCGGAUGUGAAAUCCCUGAGCUUAACUUAGGAAUUGCAUUCGAUACUGGGAAGCUAGAGUAUGGGAGAGGAUGGUAGAAUUCCAGGUGUAGCGGUGAAAUGCGUAGAGAUCUGGAGGAAUACCGAUGGCGAAGGCAGCCAUCUGGCCUAAUACUGACGCUGAGGUACGAAAGCAUGGGGAGCAAACAGGAUUAGAUACCCCCGUAGUCCCUGUCUCUUAUAC
Molecule: ribosomal RNA, 303 nt
Filed under: uncultured bacterium
Lineage: Bacteria
Description: partial 16S ribosomal RNA
Rfam family: Bacterial small subunit ribosomal RNA
Source: RNAcentral